AUGUUAUAUGAAAGAAGAGAAGGUUAGUUCUCUUAACAAGGACAGACUGCCCUCCAGGCCUAAACACAUAUACAGUUAAGGCAGUGCCAUCUACUCUGAGGCAACUUAACCAAAUUUUUAU
Small nuclear RNA from Stegodyphus dumicola, 121 nucleotides. Lineage: Eukaryota; Metazoa; Arthropoda; Arachnida; Araneae; Eresidae. The record is from RefSeq and is a predicted model, not a curated record.